Molecule: non-coding RNA, 1946 nt
Organism: Xyrichtys novacula (pearly razorfish)
Lineage: Eukaryota; Metazoa; Chordata; Actinopteri; Labriformes; Labridae
Source: the annotation of a GenBank genome assembly
GGAUCACAGCGUUUCAGAUGAGGAACAUCCUACAGCCCUCCGCUCUACCAACUGAGCUAUCAGGGUUUUCUCUAGUCACAAUUGCAGAAAACAUAGUGGCUGAGACAACACCCUAUGCCCACACAACUAUUGGAACCCAUAGUCAAUCAAAAGCCCAGCCCUACCUGCAGAACAAAGCUUUGCAGCUUGUACCCAACAGUCAUUGCCAGGGACCCAGAACUGAUAAUCAAGACUUUUAGGCUGGGUGAAUAAAAAACUGAUGGUUGGAAAAUUAAGUUAUGUGGUUUGUGUUUUUAAAUAUUGGAGGAGUUGACAGAUAAAGACAAGGCUUGGCUUUAUUUCAAUUUGACAUGCACAGGCUUGGAGCUGGAGUUGAACCGGCGACUUCAGGAUCACAGCGUUUCAGAUGAGGAACAUCCUACAGCCCUCCGCUCUACCAACUGAGCUAUCAGGGUGUUCUCUAGUCACAAUUGCAGACAACAUAGUGGCUGAGACAACACCCUAUGCCCACACAACUAUUGGAACCCAUAGUCAAUCAAAAGCCUAGCCCUACCUGCAGAACAAAGCUUUGCAGCUUGUACCCAACAGUCAUUGCCAGGGACCCAGAACGGAUAAUCAAGACUUUUAGGCUGGGUGAAUAAAAAACUGAUGGUUGGAAAAUUAAGUUAUGUGGUUUGUGGUUUUAAAUAUUGGAGGAGUUGACAGAUAAAGACAAGGCUUGGCUUUAUUUCAAUUUGACAUGCACAGGCUUGGAGCUGGAGUUGAACCGGCGACUUCAGGAUCACAGCGUUUCAGAUGAGGAACAUCCUACAGCCCUCCGCUCUACCAGCUGAGCUAUCAGGGUGUUCUCUAGUCACAAUUGCAGACAACAUAGUGGCUGAGACAACACCCUAUGCCCACACAACUAUUGGAACCCAUAGUCAAUAAAAAGCCUAGCCCUACCUGCAGAACAAAGCUUUGCAGCUUGUACCCAACAGUCAUUGCCAGGGACCCAGAACUGAUAAUCAAGACUUUUAGGCUGGGUGAAUAAAAAACUGAUGGUUGGAAAAUUAAGUUAUGUGGUUUGUGGUUUUAAAUAUUGGAGGAGUUGACAGAUAAAGACAAGGCUUGGCUUUAUUUCAAUUUGACAUGCACAGGCUUGGAGCUGGAGUUGAACCGGCGACUUCAGGAUCACAGCGUAUCAGAUGAGGAGCAUCCUACAGCCCUCCGCUCUACCAACUGAGCUAUCAGGGUGUUCUCUAGUCACAAUUGCAGACAACAUAGUGGCUGAGACAACACCCUAUGCCCACACAACUAUUGGAACCCAUAGUCAAUCAAAAGCCCAGCCCUACCUGCAGAACAAAGCUUUGCAGCUUGUACCCAACAGUCAUUGCCAGGGACCCAGAACUGAUAAUCAAGACUUUUAGGCUGGUUGAAUAAAAAAUUGAUGGUUGGAAAAUUAAGUUAUGUGUUUUUAAAUAUUGGAGGAGUUGACAGAUAAAGACAAGGCUUGGCUUUAUUUCAAUUUGACAUGCACAGGCUUGGAGCUGGAGUUGAACCGGCGACUUCAGGAUCACAGCGUUUCAGAUGAGGAACAUCCUACUGCCCUCCGCUCUACCAACUGAGCUAUCAGGGUGUUCUCUAGUCACAAUUGCAGAAAACAUAGUGGCUGAGACAACACCCUAUGCCCACACAACUAUUGGAACCCAUAGUCAAUCAAAAGCCCAGCCCUACCUGCAGAACAAAGCUUUGCAGUUUGUACCCAACAGUCAUUGCCAGGGACCCAGAACUGAUAAUCAAGACUUUUAGGCUGGUUGAAUAAAAAAUUGAUGGUUGGAAAAUUAAGUUAUGUGGUUUGUGGUUUUAAAUAUUGGAGGAGUUGACAGAUAAAGACAAGGCUUGGCUUUAUUUCAAUUUGACAUGCACAGGCUUGGAGCUGGAGUUGAACCGGCGACUUCAGGAUCACA